AGCAGCCGCGGUAAUUCCAGCUCCAAUAGCGUAUAUUAAAGUUGUUGCAGUUAAAAAGCUCGUAGUUGAAUUUCGGAAUCAAUGGAUCAGUCAUGCCACUCGGUGUGUACUGGUUUGAUUGGUUCUCACCUUCUAAGGAACCGUGAUGUCAUUAAUUUGGUGUCGCGGGGAAUUAGGACUGUUACCUUGAAAAAAUUAGAGUGUUUAAAGCAGGCUCACGCUUGAAUACAUUAGCAUGGAAUAAUGAAAUAGGACAUUGUAUUCUAUUUUGUUGGUUUCUAGGAUCGAUGUAAUGAUUAAUAGGGAUAGUUGGGGGCAUUAGUAUUCAAUUGUCAGAGGUGAAAUUCUUGGAUUUAUUGAAGACUAACUACUGCGAAAGCAUUUGCCAAGGAUGUUUUCAUUAAUCAAGAACGAAAGUUAGGGGAUCGAAGACGAUCAGAUACCGUCGUAGUCUUAACCAUAAACUAUGCCGACUAGGGAUCGGAUGAUGUUAAUUUUUAAUGUACUCU
This 509-nucleotide ribosomal RNA is filed under the name uncultured Glomus. RNAcentral's name for it is "SSU rRNA". It matches the Rfam family "Eukaryotic small subunit ribosomal RNA", at positions 569 to 1078 of the family's 1831-position model. Lineage: Eukaryota; Fungi; Glomeromycota; Glomeromycetes; Glomerales; Glomeraceae. The record is from RNAcentral.